RNAcentral lists this ribosomal RNA (253 nucleotides) under uncultured bacterium. RNAcentral describes it as "partial 16S ribosomal RNA". It matches the Rfam family "Bacterial small subunit ribosomal RNA", at positions 524 to 776 of the family's 1533-position model. The record is from RNAcentral.
UACAGAGGUCUCAACCGUUGUUCGGAUUCAUUGGGCGUAAAGGGUGCGUAGGCGGUCGCGUAAGUCAGGUGUGAAAUCUCAGGGCUCAACCCUGAAACUGCACUUGAUACUGCGUGGCUCGGGUACUGGAGAGGAGACUGGAAUUUACGGUGUAGCAGUGAAAUGCGUAGAUAUCGUAAGGAAGACCAGUGGCGAAGGCGGGUCUCUGGACAGUUCCUGACGCUGAGGCACGAAGGCCAGGGGAGCAAACGGG